This 231-nucleotide ribosomal RNA is filed under the name Clostridioides difficile. RNAcentral describes it as "partial 16S ribosomal RNA". It matches the Rfam family "Bacterial small subunit ribosomal RNA", at positions 1030 to 1262 of the family's 1533-position model. Lineage: Bacteria; Bacillati; Bacillota; Clostridia; Peptostreptococcales; Peptostreptococcaceae. The record is from RNAcentral.
GGUGACAGGUGGUGCAUGGUUGUCGUCAGCUCGUGUCGUGAGAUGUUGGGUUAAGUCCCGCAACGAGCGCAACCCUUGUCUUUAGUUGCCAUCAUUAAGUUGGGCACUCUAGAGAGACUGCCAGGGAUAACCUGGAGGAAGGGGGGGAUGACGUCAAAUCAUCAUGCCCCUUAUGCUUAGGGCUACACACGUGCUACAAUGGGUAGUACAGAGGGUUGCCAAGCCGUAAGG